UCUCGUUCAAACUUAUUAAUUGUGCGCCUUAUUGCAACCAUUGAAGGCGAAGUGGAUAAAGAUGGAAUUCCAUGUAUUACCGUAGUGACCGAUGGGGCUUGGGCUAAGAGAUCCUACAAUGUCAAUUAUGAUUCUUCUUCUGGAGUAGUAAUACUAAUAAUAAUAAUAUCAAAAUCAAAAAUAAGUAUUUUCUUUUAACUGUUGACUAAAAACAUUACAUAAAUGAUUAAUGUUUUAAUUUCUAAUUUUUAGGCAUGUAUAGUUGGCUAUAAAACAGGGAAGUUGUUAUUUCUGGGAAUAAGAAAUAAAUUUUGUUCGUCAUGUUCCUGGUACGAAAAUAAAAAAAAAGAUGUUCCAAUACAAAAAUGUCAUAAGAACUGGAACGGCACAUCUACAUCGAUGGAAGCUGACAUAGUAUUGGAGGGCUUUAAAAUAAGCAUGAAGCUUUACAAUUUAAAAUUUACAAAAAUGAUUGGUGAUGGAGAUUCCUAGGUCCACCGAAAAUUAUUGCAAUCAAAGCCCUAUGCUAAUAUGUUGGUGCAAAAGGUGGAGUGCAGGAAUCAUUUGUUGCGAAAUUGUGCCAAGAAAAUUCGAGAAAUAUGUAAUAAAAAACGAAGUAAUUCUAAAAAUGUACCUGUACCAUUGGCGUUAAGAAAAGAAGUUUUGAACAGAUUUUUAAGAUUAAGAAGUUCGAUAACAAAAGCCACCACUCACAGAAUCGCAGAAGACACCACGAUGGACCAAAAAAUUAAAUUGCUAAAGGGGUGACAUCUCUAAUGCCCCAAGUCAUGUAUUUGGGAAACACGCCAGAUGUAAAGAAAUUAAUUACUUUAAGUGUGAUAAUCCAAAUUACACAAAUUUAGUGCCAAGUAUGCAGACUUGUGGAAUUUAUGAAGACAUCUUAGUAGCUUUGCAAAGAAUUAUAGAUAAUGCAAGCAGCCUAAUCCUCAAUACGGACAAUAACCUCGCUGAGCAUUAUAACAGUAUUGUUAGCAAAUUUGUUGGUGGCAUGCGUAUAAAUUUUUGCAAACGAGGUUCAUAUGAAGCUCGCUGUGAGGCAGCUGCAUUGUCAUUUAAUUCUGGUGGUAGCUAUUAUGAAAUCCUUCAUAAAACCGCAAUAGGCACAAGCCCUCGUUCCUUUACUAAGCGGUAUAUUCAGAGAUGUAAAAAGAUAAGGCUGUUUUAUCAAACUAAAAGACUGCAAAAAACAUUAAUUUAAAAAAAAAUAAGAAAACAAAACAAACUCUUCCUGAUACGGACUAUGGUCCUGGACGCGCAUUACGUUCCUUUAGAAAUAAACAGUGACGUUUUUAUUUCGAGGAAAAAUGAAAUCCUAAAAGAUAUGAAAAAACGUCCAGAGGAAAUAAAACAUAUUGAAAAUUCUACAAUUGGCCAGGCUUCUAAUCCAAAAUGGAUACAAGAAAGAUCACAGCGGAUUACUGCCUCAAAUUUUGGCAAAAUAUGUAAAAUGCGGGCAAAAACCUCGCCAUGUGGUGCAACGUUGCUGUAUGGAAAUUUUAGUGGCAAUAAUGCUACAAGAUAUGGAAGUGAAAGCGAGGCCCGAGCAAUUUUAGAAUUUGAAAAUGAAUUUAAUUUAAAAGUGUCUCGAUGUGGAAUUUUUAUAGGUGAACAAGAAUAUUUUUUGGCAGCAAGCCCUGAUGGUUGCAUUAAUGAACAUGGUUUGGUAGAAGUUAACCGAAGCAAUAUUAUCAAAAAAGAUCACAUUCGCUACAUUGGAAAAUAACCACCUACAUUUGAAAAAAAAACCACAAUUAUUACUACCAAGUUCAGGGGCAGUUAGCUAUAGCUAAGAAGCAAUCAUGCUAUUUUAUUAUUUGGAGCCCUCUUGGCAUGUUAGUUGAACAGAUUGGCUGUGAUGAACAAUUUUGGGAAGAACAAAUGUUACCAAAAUUACAAGCCUUUUAUUACCAGAAAUAGUCGACCCGCUUUAUCCAAAAGGGCUGCCUAUCAGAACUUAAAAUUCUUCCGUUGGCGAAAAACCUGUCAACUGAAUCGAUGCAGAAGCUAAUUAAUUUAUUUCCUAAUAUGUAAAAACCUUAAUAAAUAUGUAUAUACGUU
Anthonomus grandis grandis is the source of this 2079-nucleotide long non-coding RNA. RefSeq lists it as uncharacterized. The transcript is spliced from 3 exons. Lineage: Eukaryota; Metazoa; Arthropoda; Insecta; Coleoptera; Curculionidae. The record is from RefSeq and is a predicted model, not a curated record.